AUACGUAGGUGGCAAGCGUUGUCCGGAAUUAUUGGGCGUAAAGCGCGCGCAGGCGGUCCUUUAAGUCUGAUGUGAAAGCCCACGGCUCAACCGUGGAGGGUCAUUGGCAACUGGGGGACUUGAGUGCAGAAGAGGAAAGUGGAAUUCCAAGUGUUGCGGUGAAAUGCGUAGAGAUUUGGAGGAACACCAGUGGCGAUGGCGCCUUUCUGAUCUGUACCUGACGGUGAGGCGCGAAAGCUUGGGCAGCAAACAGGAUUAGAUACCCUGGUAGUCCACGCCGUAAACGAUGAGUGCUAAGUGUUAGUGGGUUUCCGCCCCUUAGUGCUGUAGCUAACGCAUUAAGCGCUCCGCCUGGGGAGUACGGUCGCAAGACUGAAACUCAAAUGAAUUGGCGGGG
RNAcentral lists this ribosomal RNA (397 nucleotides) under uncultured bacterium. RNAcentral describes it as "partial 16S ribosomal RNA". It matches the Rfam family "Bacterial small subunit ribosomal RNA", at positions 523 to 918 of the family's 1533-position model. The record is from RNAcentral.